Molecule: long non-coding RNA, 1729 nt
Filed under: Triticum aestivum (bread wheat)
Lineage: Eukaryota; Viridiplantae; Streptophyta; Magnoliopsida; Poales; Poaceae
Description: long non-coding RNA (TAES_LNC004748)
Source: RNAcentral
UGCAAGUCAGAGAAGCCACAAAGCGUCCACAAGGACGGAGGGCGCGCCCCCCACCCUUUUGGGCCCCUCGUGACUCCACCGACCUAGUUUCUUCGCCUAUAUAUUCUCAUAUAUCCCAAAACCAACAGAGAGAGCCACGAAAACACUUUUCCAUCGUCGCAACCUUCUGUACCCAUGAGAUCUCAUCUAGGGGCCUUUUUCGGCGUCCUGCCGGAGGGGGAUUCGAUCACGGAGGGCUCCUACAUCAACACCAUUGCCCUUCCGAUGAAGCGUGAGUAGUUUACCACAGACCUGCGGGUCCAUAGCUAGUAGCUAUAUAGCUUCUUCUCUCUCUUUUAUUCUGAAUACCAUGUUCUCCUCGAUGUUCUUGGAGAUCUAUUCGAUGUAAUACUUUUUUGAAGUGUGUUUGCCGAGAUCCGAUGAAUUGUGGAUUUAUGAUCAACUUAUCUAUGAAUAUUAUUUGAAUCUUCUCUGGAUUCUUAUAUGCAUGAUUUGAUAUCUUUGCAAGUCUCUUCGAACAAUCGAUUUGGUUUGGCCAACUAGAUUGGUUUUUCUUGCAAUGGGAGAAGUGCUUAGCUUUGGGUUCAAUCUUGCGGUGUCCUUUCCCAGUGAUAGUAGGGGCAGCAAGGCACGUAUUGUAUUGUUGCCAUCGAGGAUAAAAAAAUGGGGUUUACAUCAUAUUGCUUCAGUUUAUUCCUCUACAUCAUGUCAUCUUACUUAAUGUGUUACUCUGUUCUUCAUGAACUUAAUACUCUAGAUGCAGGCAGGAGUCGGUCGAUGUGUGGAGUAAUAGUAGUAGAUGCAGGCAAGAGUCGGUCUACUUGACACGGGCGUGAUGCCUAUAUUCAUGAUCAUUGCCUUAGAUAUCGUCAUAACUUCGCGCUUUUCUAUCAAUUGCUCGGCAGUAAUUUGUUCACCCACCGUAAUAUUCUCUAUCUUGAGAGAAGCCUCUAGUGAAACCUAUGGCCCCCGGGUCUAUUUUCCAUCAUAUAAGUUUUCGAUCUACAAUUUUAGUUUCCGAUUUACUUCCUUUGCAAUCUUUUACUUUCCGAUCCAUAAAGCAAAAAUACCAAAAAUAUUUACUUUACUGUUUAUCUAUCUCUAUCAGAUCUCACUUUUGUAAGUAACCGUGAAGGGUUGACAACCGCUUUAUCGCGUUGGGUGCAGGUGGUUGAUUGUCUGUGCAGGUAUUCGGUGACUUGUUCAUUGUCUCCUACUAGAUUGAUACCUUGGUUCUCAAACCGAGGGAAAUACUGAUGCCUACUACACAACUUGUUCUUGUAGCUCGUGUUGGGCCUCGAAGCACAGAGUUUUGUAGGACACUAGAAAAUUUCCCUCAAGUGGAUGACCUAAGGUUUAUCAAUCCGUGCGAGGCGUAGGAUGAAGAUGGUCUCUCUCAAACAACCCUGCAACCAAAUAAUAAAAAGUCCGUGUGUCCCCGGUACACCAAAUACAAUGGUAAUUUGUAUAGGUGCACUAGUUUGGCGAAGAGAUGGUGAUACAAGGGUAGUAAUGAUAGUAGAUAUUGAUUUUUAUAAUAGGAACAAUAAAAAACAUCAAGGUAGCAAUUGAUAAAACGGAGCACAGACGAUAUUGCAAUGCUUGAAAAUGAGGCCUAGGGUCCAUAAUUUCGCUAGUGUAACCUCUCAACAAUGCUAAUAUAAUUGGAUCAUAUAACCAUCCGUCAAAGUGCGAUGAAGAAUCACUCCAAAGUUCCUAUCUAGCAGAG